RNAcentral lists this long non-coding RNA (655 nucleotides) under Gorilla gorilla gorilla (western lowland gorilla). Its description in RNAcentral is "lncRNA (ENSGGOG00000044604.1)". The record is from RNAcentral. Lineage: Eukaryota; Metazoa; Chordata; Mammalia; Primates; Hominidae.
CUCUAAUUUAAGCAGGGGAACGACGCGACCUGCCCCCUUAUUAGGUCGGAAAACCUAGACGUCCAGAGUGUGCGUGAUCAUGCAGCCUGGCUCCUCCUGUGACUAGUUAGAGCUUUAUUAAGAGCUAAAAGACAAGGAUGCUGAUAUUCCAUCCUGGGGACAGCAAAAUAGUAUUUUCCCAGCCCUUAGGAAUCCUUUCUGUUUGUGUAAGGUUUAUUCGCUUGCUCUGAGCUCUCAACUGAAGAAGGGGAGAAUUUGCCUACCAGAAGUUAUUUGGCUAAGGCCCACGUGGAAGCUUAAAAAACAGGAGAGCUGAGUAUCUGCAAGAAUUAAUUUGUGCGAUUCCCUCUGAGUAGAAAAGGAACACGGUGUUAUAAGUUUUGCUGAACGAAUAGAUUUAAGGUGUCCCUUUAGCUAAGAGCAAUGUGGUCUAGUUGUGUGUAGCGAGAAAAAAGGGUAAGGUUUUUAAUGGUUUGUCCAAAGUAGCCCCACUUUUAUGUUCCACCCGAGUCUCCGUAGGAAACGCAACCAGUAGUGAAAAUGAACAGAUGUGAAAACCAGGGUGGAACCGAAUAUUCCCAUUCUCAGACCUUUUGUGAUUAAAUUUAUCUCUGAAUUGUUCCCUAUGGACUCUUCUAAAAAUGAAACGUUAUUC